GAUGAACGCUGGCGGCGUGCCUAAUACAUGCAAGUCGAGCGAACAGACGAGGAGCUUGCUCCUCUGACGUUAGCGGCGGACGGGUGAGUAACACGUGGAUAACCUACCUAUAAGACUGGGAUAACUUCGGGAAACCGGAGCUAAUACCGGAUAACAUGUUGAACCGCAUGGUUCAACAGUGAAAGACGGUUUUGCUGUCACUUAUAGAUGGAUCCGCGUCGCAUUAGCUAGUUGGUAAGGUAACGGCUUACCAAGGCAACGAUGCGUAGCCGACCUGAGAGGGUGAGCGGCCACACGGGAACGGAGACACGGUCCAGCCUCCUCCGGGAGGCACAAGGAGGGAAUCUUCCGCAAGGGGGGAAAGCCGGAAGGAGCACGGCCGCGGGAGUGAAGAAGGUCUUCGGAUCGAAAAACUUUUUUAUUAGGGAAAAAAAAAGGUGAAAGAAAAUAUGCACGUCUUGACGGUACCUAAUCAGAAAGCCAGGGCAAACUACGUG
RNAcentral lists this ribosomal RNA (497 nucleotides) under uncultured bacterium. RNAcentral's name for it is "partial 16S ribosomal RNA". It matches the Rfam family "Bacterial small subunit ribosomal RNA", at positions 28 to 507 of the family's 1533-position model. The record is from RNAcentral.